AGAACGAACGCUGGCGGCAGGCUUAACACAUGCAAGUCGAACGCCCCGCAAGGGGAGUGGCAGACGGGUGAGUAACGCGUGGGAACGUACCUUUCGGUUCGGAAUAGGCUCGGGAAACCGGGGUUAAUACCGGAUACGUCCUUAGGGAGAAAGAUUUAUCGCCGAAAGAUCGGCCCGCGUCUGAUUAGCUAGUUGGCGGGGUAAUGGCCCACCAAGGCGACGAUCAGUAGCUGGUCUGAGAGGAUGAUCAGCCACAUUGGGACUGAGACACGGCCCAAACUCCUACGGGAGGCAGCAGUGGGGAAUAUUGGACAAUGGGCGCAAGCCUGAUCCAGCCAUGCCGCGUGAGUGAUGAAGGCCUUAGGGUUGUAAAGCUCUUUCGGCGGGGACGAUAAUGACGGUACCCGCAGAAGAAGCCCGGCUAACUUCGCGCCAGCAGCCGC
RNAcentral lists this ribosomal RNA (443 nucleotides) under uncultured bacterium. Its description in RNAcentral is "SSU rRNA". It matches the Rfam family "Bacterial small subunit ribosomal RNA", at positions 26 to 518 of the family's 1533-position model. The record is from RNAcentral.